RNAcentral lists this ribosomal RNA (613 nucleotides) under Colletotrichum gloeosporioides. Its description in RNAcentral is "eukaryotic LSU rRNA". The stretch from base 241 to 394 matches the Rfam family "5.8S ribosomal RNA". RNAcentral also lists the same sequence under 1 other name. The record is from RNAcentral. Lineage: Eukaryota; Fungi; Ascomycota; Sordariomycetes; Glomerellales; Glomerellaceae.
CUUGGUCAUUUAGAGGAAGUAAAAGUCGUAACAAGGUCUCCGUUGGUGAACCAGCGGAGGGAUCAUUACUGAGUUUACGCUCUAUAACCCUUUGUGAACAUACCUAUAACUGUUGCUUCGGCGGGUAGGGUCUCCGCGACCCUCCCGGCCUCCCGCCUCCGGGCGGGUCGGCGCCCGCCGGAGGAUAACCAAACUCUGAUUUAACGACGUUUCUUCUGAGUGGUACAAGCAAAUAAUCAAAACUUUUAACAACGGAUCUCUUGGUUCUGGCAUCGAUGAAGAACGCAGCGAAAUGCGAUAAGUAAUGUGAAUUGCAGAAUUCAGUGAAUCAUCGAAUCUUUGAACGCACAUUGCGCCCGCCAGCAUUCUGGCGGGCAUGCCUGUUCGAGCGUCAUUUCAACCCUCAAGCUCUGCUUGGUGUUGGGGCCCUACAGCUGAUGUAGGCCCUCAAAGGUAGUGGCGGACCCUCCCGGAGCCUCCUUUGCGUAGUAACUUUACGUCUCGCACUGGGAUCCGGAGGGACUCUUGCCGUAAAACCCCCCAAUUUUCCAAAGGUUGACCUCGGAUCAGGUAGGAAUACCCGCUGAACUUAAGCAUAUCAAUAAGCGGAGGA